Molecule: ribosomal RNA, 468 nt
Filed under: uncultured bacterium
Lineage: Bacteria
Description: partial 16S ribosomal RNA
Rfam family: Bacterial small subunit ribosomal RNA
Source: RNAcentral
GACGAACGCUGGCGGCGUGCUUAACACAUGCAAGUCGAGCGGACAGGCCAUGCUCUUGUGGGGUGCUCGUGUGGCGCACGGGUGAGUAAAACGCGAGUAACCUGCACCUGACUUUGGGAUAACUUCUGGGAACUGGGGAUCAUACACCAUAGAAGAUCCUGAAGCAUGGGGUGGGUUGGAGAAAUGCGGCGGUUGGGGCUGGACUCGCGGCUUAUCCGCUUGUUGGGCGGGUAGUGGCUUACAAAGCCUUUGACGGAUAGCCGGCCUGGGAGGGUGGCCGGCGACAAUGGGACUGAGAUACGCCCCAGACUGCAACGGGACGCAGCGGGGGGGAGUAUUGCAGAGUGGGGGGAAGUCAGUGACGGCGACGCUGCGUUCGUGAUGACGGCUUUCGAGUUGUAAACCGCUUUCUCCUGAGACGAGGCGUUAGUGACGGUAACUGGUAAAGAAGCACCGGCUAACUACGUG